This 29-nucleotide non-coding RNA is filed under the name Cricetulus griseus (Chinese hamster). The record is from RNAcentral. Lineage: Eukaryota; Metazoa; Chordata; Mammalia; Rodentia; Cricetidae.
UGGAGAAUAAAGAUGGUCUGUAGUCACCG